RNAcentral lists this ribosomal RNA (395 nucleotides) under uncultured bacterium. Its description in RNAcentral is "partial 16S ribosomal RNA". It matches the Rfam family "Bacterial small subunit ribosomal RNA", at positions 523 to 918 of the family's 1533-position model. The record is from RNAcentral.
AUACGUAGGGUGCAAGCGUUAAUCGGAAUUACUGGGCGUAAAGCGUGCGCAGGCGGUUUUGUAAGACAGUGGUGAAAUCCCCGGGCUCAACCUGGGAACUGCCAUUGUGACUGCAAGGCUGGAGGGCGGCCGAGGGGGGUGGAAUUCCGCGUGUAGCAGUGAAAUGCGUAGAUAUGCGGAGGAACACCGAUGGCGAAGGCAAUCCCCUGGGCCUGCACUGACGCUCAUGCACGAAAGCGUGGGGAGCAAACAGGAUUAGAUACCCUGGUAGUCCACGCCCUAAACGAUGUCAACUGGUUGUUGGGGAUUUAUUUUCUCAGUAACGAAGCUAACGCGUGAAGUUGACCGCCUGGGGAGUACGGCCGCAAGGUUAAAACUCAAAGGAAUUGACGGGG